UCCGAUUUGUCACCGGCAGUCUCCCAUGAGUCCCCGUCUUUCACGCUGGCAACAUGGAACGAGGGUUGCGCUCGUUGCGGGACUUAACCCAACAUCUCACGACACGAGCUGACGACAGCCAUGCACCACCUGUGAUCCUGCCCGUGAGGGAAGCCGUGUUUCCACGGCGGUCAGGAACAUGUCAAACCCAGGUAAGGUUCUUCGCGUUGCGUCGAAUUAAACCACAUGCUCCACCGCUUGUGCGGGCCCCCGUCAAUUCCUUUGAGUUUCAACCUUGCGGUCGUACUCCCCAGGCGGGGUACUUCCUGCGUUAGCGACGGCGCGGGAGGAGUCGACACCUCCCACACCUAGUGCCCAUCGUUUACGGCGUGGACUAC
This 377-nucleotide unclassified non-coding RNA is filed under the name uncultured Thermoleophilia bacterium. RNAcentral describes it as "contains 16S-23S intergenic spacer region". The record is from RNAcentral. Lineage: Bacteria; Bacillati; Actinomycetota; Thermoleophilia.